UUAAAAAUUAGAGGAGCACAGUAAUAGACGGCCGUGUCCUCCACUCUCAGGCUGUUCAUCUGCAGGUAAAGUGUGCUCUUGCUGUUG
Dipodomys spectabilis (banner-tailed kangaroo rat) is the source of this 87-nucleotide long non-coding RNA. RefSeq lists it as uncharacterized. The transcript has 3 exons. Lineage: Eukaryota; Metazoa; Chordata; Mammalia; Rodentia; Heteromyidae. The record is from RefSeq and is a predicted model, not a curated record.